This 442-nucleotide ribosomal RNA is filed under the name uncultured Eubacteriales bacterium. Its description in RNAcentral is "bacterial SSU rRNA". It matches the Rfam family "Bacterial small subunit ribosomal RNA", at positions 338 to 795 of the family's 1533-position model. Lineage: Bacteria; Bacillati; Bacillota; Clostridia; Eubacteriales. The record is from RNAcentral.
CCUACGGGAGGCAGCAGUGGGGAAUAUUGCGCAAUGGGGGGAACCCUGACGCAGCAACGCCGCGUGAGUGAAGAAGGCCUUCGGGUCGUAAAGCUCUGUCAUUGGGGACGAAGGAGUGACGGUACCCAAGGAGGAAGCCCCGGCUAACUACGUGCCAGCAGCCGCGGUAAUACGUAGGGGGCGAGCGUUGUCCGGAAUUACUGGGCGUAAAGGGUGCGUAGGCGGCCUCAGAAGUCAGGUGUGAAAUACCGUGGCUUAACCACGGGGGUGCAUUUGAAACUUUGAGGCUUGAGUGCAGGAGAGGAAAGUGGAAUUCCUAGUGUAGCGGUGAAAUGCGUAGAGAUUAGGAGGAACACCAGUGGCGAAGGCGACUUUCUGGACUGUAACUGACGCUGAUGCACGAAAGCGUGGGUAGCGAACAGGCUUAGAUACCCUGGUAGUC